GGAUUGCCUCAGUAACGGCGAGUGAAGCGGCAACAGCUCAAAUUUGAAAUCUGGCUCCUCUCGGGGUCCGAGUUGUAAUUUGUAGAGGAUGCUUCGGGUGCGGCACCGGUCUAAGUCCCUUGGAACAGGGCGUCAUAGAGGGUGAGGAUCCCGUAUGUGACCGGCGACCAAGUCCAUGUGAAGCUCCUUCGACGAGUCGAGUUGUUUGGGAAUGCAGCUCAAAAUGGGUGGUAAAUUUCAUCUAAAGCUAAAUACCGGCCAGAGACCGAUAGCGCACAAGUAGAGUGAUCGAAAGAUGAAAAGCACUUUGGAAAGAGAGUCAAAAAGUACGUGAAAUUGUUGAAAGGGAAGCGCUUGUAACCAGACCUGCCGUCGGGUGCUCCGCGGGCAUUCUUGCCCGUUUACUCACCCGCGAUCAGGCCAGCAUCGGUUUUGGCGGCCGGAUAAAGACUCGAGGAAUGUAGCUUCGCUUCGGGGAAGUGUUAUAGCCUCUUGUGCCAUACGGCCAGCCGGGACCGAGGACCGCGCUUCGGCUAGGAUGCUGGCGUAAUGGUUGCAAGCGACCCGUCUUGAAACACGGACCAAGGAGUCUAACAUCUAUGCGAGUGUUUGGGUGUCAAACCCAUGCGCGGAAUGAAAGUGAACGGAGGUGGGAACCCUUAAGGGCGCACCAUCGACCGAUCCGGAAGUUUACGGAUGGAUUUGAGUAUGAGCAUAGCUGUUGGGACCCGAAAGAUGGUGAACUAUGCCUGAAUAGGGUGAAGCCAGAGGAAACUCUGGUGGAGGCUCGCAGCGGUUCUGACGUGCAAAUCGAUCGUCAAAUUUGGGUAUAGGGGCGAAAGACUAAUCGAA
RNAcentral lists this ribosomal RNA (852 nucleotides) under Ramalina fastigiata. RNAcentral's name for it is "LSU rRNA". It matches the Rfam family "Eukaryotic large subunit ribosomal RNA", at positions 72 to 939 of the family's 3401-position model. The record is from RNAcentral. Lineage: Eukaryota; Fungi; Ascomycota; Lecanoromycetes; Lecanorales; Ramalinaceae.